GAUGAAGAACGUAGCGAAAUGCGAUAAGUAAUGUGAAUUGCAGAAUUCAGUGAAUCAUCGAAUCUUUGAACGCACCUUGCGCUCCUUGGUAUUCCGAGGAGCAUGCCUGUUUGAGUGUCAUGAAAUUCUCAACCUUUUCAGCUUUCUUUGUUGAUCAGGCUUGGAUGUGGGAGUAUGCGGGCUUCUCAGAAGUCGGCUCUCCUGAAAUGCAUUAGCGGGACCUUUGUUGCCUGGCUUUGGUGUGAUAAUUAUCUGCGCCAUUGUAGUCAAGCAGCUUAAAAUGAGGUUUCAGCUUCUAACCGUCUCCCCUGAGACAACUUUUUGACAAUUUGACCUCAAAUCAGGUAGGACUACCCGCUGAACUUAAGCAUAUCAAUAAGCGGAGGA
Molecule: unclassified non-coding RNA, 387 nt
Filed under: soil metagenome
Description: partial contains 5.8S ribosomal RNA, internal transcribed spacer 2, and large subunit ribosomal RNA
Rfam family: 5.8S ribosomal RNA (bases 1-120)
Source: RNAcentral